UACGUAGGGAGCAAGCGUUGUCCGGAUUUACUGGGUGUGAAGGGUGCGUAGGCGGCUUUGCAAGUCAGAAGUGAAAUCUAUGGGCUUAACCCAUAAACUGCUUUUGAAACUGCAGGGCUUGAGUGAAGUAGAGGUAGGCGGAAUUCCCGGUGUAGCGGUGAAAUGCGUAGAGAUCGGGAGGAACACCAGUGGCGAAGGCGGCCUACUGGGCUUUAACUGACGCUGAGGCACGAAAGCGUGGGUAGCAAACAGG
This 253-nucleotide ribosomal RNA is filed under the name uncultured bacterium. RNAcentral describes it as "partial 16S ribosomal RNA". It matches the Rfam family "Bacterial small subunit ribosomal RNA", at positions 524 to 776 of the family's 1533-position model. The record is from RNAcentral.